UCUAAGGCAAAAUACGACCACGAGACUGAUAGCGAACAAGUACCUGAGGGAAAGUUGAAAAGAACUUUGAAGANAGAGUUCAAGAGUACGUGAAACCGUUCAGGGGUAAACCUAAGAAACCCAAAGGUCGAACGGGGAGAUUCAUCGUCAGCGGCGCUGGCUUCGCGUCGGUGGGCGAUGUCCCGCAGAAUUCUCGCGGCUCUCGCACGGGCACGCUACCGUGCGUCGAUGUACGGCGCUCGUUGUCGUGCACUUUUCCCCAAGUAGAACGUCGCGACCCGCUGGGUGUCGGUCUACGGGCCGGGGUGCGGUGACCGUCGCGUCGCCGUAAAACGGCACGCGACAAACCCCCGGUCGCCCAGCCGGCUGCUCGGCGGUACGCGCAAGGUAUCAGGCCGCACUGUUUACGAUGCGUCGAGGCCGUCGCAAGCGCGCGCCACGGUACUCGGAGGUUACGGACUUUGCGCCGUACCCGGUCCUGGUCCGCUGUUGGUUAAAGUACGGUUCAUCUUCGACAGGCCUGUCGAACGUCCCUCUCCCUCCCUUGUGGGUCGCGUGGGGGAUCGAAACCGGUCGGCGACGCUACUGCUUUGGGUACUCUUAGGACCCG
This 610-nucleotide ribosomal RNA is filed under the name Formica fusca complex sp. MAS-2009. Its description in RNAcentral is "eukaryotic LSU rRNA". It matches the Rfam family "Eukaryotic large subunit ribosomal RNA", at positions 309 to 651 of the family's 3401-position model. Lineage: Eukaryota; Metazoa; Arthropoda; Insecta; Hymenoptera; Formicidae. The record is from RNAcentral.